UUAUUUUAAGUUAUUAAUAACCAACUCCAGGAACAAAGACGAUGCUGUAUAAAGACUAUACGAAUGUUCAACAGUAAGAAAGAGAGGAUAUCAGCUUCAACCAAUUAAUGAGAAUUGAAGAAUACAGAUUACAGCAACGAGCUUCAUGGCAUAGAUAAGUGAUGAAUACCCUGAAAAAAUACACAUAACUCCAUCACUACCCUUACUCAGUAGGAACGAACCUUUCAACUGACAAAACAAAAUGUGAAACCUUUGUAAACCUUGUUAGGCAGCUGCGAAUAGUAAGUACAAGAAGUGAAAAAUAUUCUUCUCGGUUAAAUUUUUCUACAAACUGUUCAAUAAUUAUUAUUUCAUGAAAUGUGAUCAUUUCUACUUUUACGUU
This is a long non-coding RNA of Bolinopsis microptera, 382 nucleotides long. RefSeq lists it as uncharacterized. Lineage: Eukaryota; Metazoa; Ctenophora; Tentaculata; Lobata; Bolinopsidae. The transcript has 3 exons. The record is from RefSeq and is a predicted model, not a curated record.